This 450-nucleotide ribosomal RNA is filed under the name uncultured Alphaproteobacteria bacterium. RNAcentral describes it as "bacterial SSU rRNA". It matches the Rfam family "Bacterial small subunit ribosomal RNA", at positions 45 to 541 of the family's 1533-position model. The record is from RNAcentral. Lineage: Bacteria; Pseudomonadati; Pseudomonadota; Alphaproteobacteria.
GGCCUAACACAUGCAAGUCGAACGAAGGCUUCGGCCUUAGUGGCGCACGGGUGCGUAACGCGUGGGAAUCUGCCCCUUGGUUCGGAAUAACAGUUGGAAACGACUGCUAAUACCGGAUGAUGACGUAAGUCCAAAGAUUUAUCGCCGAGGGAUGAGCCCGCGUAGGAUUAGGUAGUUGGUGUGGUAAAGGCGCACCAAGCCGACGAUCCUUAGCUGGUCUGAGAGGAUGAUCAGCCACACUGGGACUGAGACACGGCCCAGACUCCUACGGGAGGCAGCAGUGGGGAAUAUUGGACAAUGGGCGAAAGCCUGAUCCAGCAAUGCCGCGUGAGUGAUGAAGGCCUUAGGGUUGUAAAGCUCUUUUACCCGGGAUGAUAAUGACAGUACCGGGAGAAUAAGCCCCGGCUAACUCCGUGCCAGCAGCCGCGGUAAUACGGAGGGGGCUAGCGU